This 1303-nucleotide ribosomal RNA is filed under the name Thaumastocorinae sp. RHC-2017. RNAcentral's name for it is "SSU rRNA". It matches the Rfam family "Eukaryotic small subunit ribosomal RNA", at positions 63 to 1132 of the family's 1831-position model. The record is from RNAcentral. Lineage: Eukaryota; Metazoa; Arthropoda; Insecta; Hemiptera; Thaumastocoridae.
GUACAAACUGAACUAAAGUGAAACCGCCAAAAGCUCAGUAAAUCAGUUCUCAUUUCACGAGAUAAAGAAUUACAAAAUGAAUAACCACGGUAAUUCUGGAGCUAAUACAUGCAACACAAAAAUAUUUCCCGCAUGCAAAUGUUGGGAAAAAAAUGCUCUUAUUGUUCCACAAGACCAAUCGCUCUUGCACAAAGAGCAUCGAUCUACACUCUAAAUAAUUCAAAUAGAUCGGACGAUCUAUCGGCGCUAUACCUUUUCAAAUGCCUAAUUUAUUAAACUUACGAUGGUACACUUUGUGUCCACCAUGGCCCUCAUGGGUAACGGAGAAUUGGGGUUCCACUCCGGAGAGGGAGCCUGAGAAACGGCUACCACAUCCAAGGAAGGCAGCAGGCACGCAAAUUACCCAAUCCCGGCACGGGGAGGUGGUGACAAUAAAUACCAAUACGGGACUCUUUUGAGGCCCCGUAAUUGGAAUGAGUGCACAUUAAACCCUUGAACAAGGAUCCAUUGGAGGGAAAGUCUGGUGCCAGCAGCCGCGGUAAAUCCAGCUCCAAUAGCGUAUAUUAAAUUUGCUGCGGUUAAAAAGCUCGUAGUUGGUACUACUAAAUUACUGCAACACUGUCGGUUCGCCGCCUGUUGGUGCGUGUUACUGGCAUGCUGUUGCUUUGACCUGUUCGGCUCGAAUAAAAAACGGGGAGACUUUCAUGAAUGGUGUCGCUGUUGAGGGGAUCACAUACCGCGAGCGUCCACUCAAACGAGCGUCGUUGGGGUCAAACCCUUCGUCGCCUCGGGGCGUCUCCGCGAGUCUUCCAACCGUACCUGUGUGAUUGUUCACUUUCACCGUCUAUUCAUCCCAUCCUCUCGCGAGCUCUUCACUGAGUUUCGAUUGGUUUGGGGCCGACACGUCGACACUUUGAACAAAUUAGAGUGCUCAAAGCAAGCUAAAAAUUUCUGCCUGAAUAAUGGUGCAUAGAAUAAGAGAAAAGGACCUUGUUCGUUCUAUUCUGUUGGUCUCCGGAACACAGGGUAAUGAUCAAUAAGGACUGUCGGGGGCAAUCGUAUUGCGGCGUGAGGUGAAAUCUGGAUCGUCGCAAGACGCUCGAAAGCGAAAGCAAUUGCCAAGUAUGUCUUAAUUGAUCAAGAACGAAAGUUAGAGGUUCGAAGGCGAUCAGAUACCGCCCUAGUUCUAACCAUAAACGAUGCCAGCCAGCGAUCCGCCGAUGUUCUUUCUUUAUGAUGACUCGUGCGGGAAGCUCCUCCCCGGGAAACCAAAGCUUUCGGGUUCUGGGGGGAGUAUGGUUGC